Homo sapiens (human) is the source of this 657-nucleotide long non-coding RNA. Ensembl annotates it as CRTC3 antisense RNA 1. Its record names the gene CRTC3-AS1. NCBI's taxonomy places the organism in Eukaryota, Metazoa, Chordata, Mammalia, Primates, Hominidae. The record is from Ensembl.
UCUUUGUUUUUGGUGUUUUAGAGUCGGUGAAGGCUUUAAAGGAAGUAGGCAGCUGGAACCCGGCUGUGGCGGGUUGAAAAGCCCGGGCGUUUGAGAGCUGAGACUUGCCAGUUCCCACAGGCCAAGCCAGGCGUCUGCACCCCAUUCUCUUGGUUCCGACGAAUAUGCUCUCCAUGAGGGUGUUCUUCAGGGCCUACCACAAUGGCUGGCACUAGAGAAGGGCACAAAAUUGAAGAACAGUGAAGACAAAAGCAAUAAGAUGAUUAAGGCCAUGUGAGACAGCAACAAUAUCAGGUUCCUGAACACACAACAACAUAAAAGCAGUAAAGAAGCUGAGGGAUAGCUCGCUCACCUGGCAGGAUGGUGUUCGGGAGACUCCCGCAGUUGGAAUACGGGCUUGGUCUCAAAUGAAAAGAGUCCUGCAGUUCUCGGGAACCUUGUUGCACCAGAGGCACCUGGAAGCAUCGAAGGUCAUGUGAGGAAGGCCACACCUCUGUUUCCAAGGAGGAAGAUGUCACCGAUGCCCACAGCCUGCCACAGCUCGGGGCUGGUAGGCUCCUCUCGAUUCCUGCACGUUUCUGCUUCUGACACUGCUUCUACCCGGAGAGUUGUGUAUUUACCAAGAGUCAGUUGUGUGAUUCUCAAACAUACUUAUGU